This 392-nucleotide unclassified non-coding RNA is filed under the name uncultured Orbiliaceae. RNAcentral describes it as "sequence contains ITS2". The stretch from base 1 to 154 matches the Rfam family "5.8S ribosomal RNA". The record is from RNAcentral. Lineage: Eukaryota; Fungi; Ascomycota; Orbiliomycetes; Orbiliales.
AACUUUCAACAACGGAUCUCUUGGUUCUCGCAUCGAUGAAGAACGCAGCGAAACGCGAUAGGUAAUGUGAAUUGCAGAAUUCAGUGAAUCAUCGAAUCUUUGAACGCACAUUGCGCCUCUUGGUAUUCCGAGGGGCAUGUCUGUUUGAGCGUCAGUACCCACUCCAUCUUCAGGUGUUUUUGCGAACGCCUGGAGAAGGGUCUUGAGGGACGAGGAGCAAUCCUCCCCCCUCUAACGUGGCACGCUUGCGAACCCUCCUAACCGAUCACGACGUAGUAAACAUUCUCGCCGGACGAAAGGUAGAAGGGCCGCCUUGAAUUCAAACUUUGUAGUUUGACCUCAGAUCAGACAAGGAUACCCGCUGAACUUAAGCAUAUCAAUAAGCGGAGGCU